GACGAACGCUGGCGGCGUGCCUAAUACAUGCAAGUCGAGCGAAGUUUUUCUGGUGCUUGCACCGGAAAAACUUAGCGGCGAACGGGUGAGUAACACGUAAAGAACCUGCCUCAUAGACGGGGACAACUAUUGGAAACGAUAGCUAAUACCGGAUAACAGCAUUAACUGCAUGGUUGAUGUUUAAAAGUUGGUUUUGCUAACACUAUGAUAUGGCUUUGCGGUGCAUUAGCUAGUUGGUGGGGUAAAGGCCUACCAAGGCGACGAUGCAUAGCCGACCUGAGAGGGUGAUCGGCCACACUGGGACUGAGACACGGCCCAGACUCCUACGGGAGGCAGCAGUAGGGAAUCUUCCGCAAUGGGCGAAAGCCUGACGGAGCAACGCCGCGUGAGUGAAGAAGGAUUUCGGUUCGUAAAGCUCUGUUGUUAGGGAAGAAUGAUUGUGUAGUAAAUAUACACAGUAGAGACGGUACCUAACCAGAAAGCCACGGCUAACUACGUG
RNAcentral lists this ribosomal RNA (499 nucleotides) under uncultured bacterium. RNAcentral describes it as "partial 16S ribosomal RNA". It matches the Rfam family "Bacterial small subunit ribosomal RNA", at positions 28 to 507 of the family's 1533-position model. The record is from RNAcentral.